AGUGAACGCUGGCGGUAGGCCUAACACAUGCAAGUCGAACGGCAGCACAGUAAGAGCUUGCUCUUACGGGUGGCGAGUGGCGGACGGGUGAGGGAUACAUCGGAAUCUACUUUUUCGUGGGGGAUAACGUAGGGAAACUUACGCUAAUACCGCAUACGACCUACGGGUGAAAGCAGGGGAUCUUCGGACCUUGCGCGAUUGAAUGAGCCGAUGUCGGAUUAGCUAGUUGGCGGGGUAAAGGCCCACCAAGGCGACGAUCCGUAGCUGGUCUGAGAGGAUGAUCAGCCACACUGGAACUGAGACACGGUCCAGACUCCUACGGGAGGCAGCAGUGGGGAAUAUUGGACAAUGGGCGCAAGCCUGAUCCAGCCAUACCGCGUGGGUGAAGAAGGCCUUCGGGUUGUAAAGCCCUUUUGUUGGGAAAGAAAAGCAGCAGGUUAAUACCCCGCUGUUCUGACGGUACCCAAAGAAUAAGCACCGGCUAACUUCGU
RNAcentral lists this ribosomal RNA (491 nucleotides) under uncultured bacterium. Its description in RNAcentral is "partial 16S ribosomal RNA". It matches the Rfam family "Bacterial small subunit ribosomal RNA", at positions 29 to 506 of the family's 1533-position model. The record is from RNAcentral.